UGGGGAAUAUUGCACAAUGGAGGGAACUCUGAUGCAGCGCCGCCGCGUGAGUGAUGAAGGAAUUCGUUUCGUAAAACUCUGUUCUAUGGGAAGAAAAGGACUGUACCAUAGGAGAAAGCUCCGGCUAAAUACGUGCCAGCAGCCGCGGUAAUACGUAUGGAGCGAGCGUUGUCCGGAAUUAUUGGGCGUAAAGGGUGCGCAGGCGGCUUUACAAGUUGGAUGUGAAAUAUUGUGGCUCAACCACAAACGUGCAUCCAAAACUGCAAAGCUUGAGUUAAGGAGAGGUAAGUGGAAUUCCUGGUGUAGCGGUGGAAUGCGUAGAUAUCAGGAGGAAUACCGGUGGCGAAGGCGACUUACUGGACUUAAACUGACGCUCAGGCACGAAAGCGUGGGGAGCAAACAGG
This 404-nucleotide ribosomal RNA is filed under the name Fusobacteriota bacterium. RNAcentral describes it as "Fusobacteria bacterium partial 16S ribosomal RNA". It matches the Rfam family "Bacterial small subunit ribosomal RNA", at positions 355 to 776 of the family's 1533-position model. Lineage: Bacteria; Fusobacteriati; Fusobacteriota. The record is from RNAcentral.